This 207-nucleotide ribosomal RNA is filed under the name uncultured bacterium. Its description in RNAcentral is "partial 16S ribosomal RNA". It matches the Rfam family "Bacterial small subunit ribosomal RNA", at positions 568 to 774 of the family's 1533-position model. The record is from RNAcentral.
CUCGUAGGUGGUUUGUCGCGUUGUUCGUGAAAACUCACAGCUUAACUGUGGGCGUGCGGGCGAUACGGGCAGACUAGAGUACUGCAGGGGAGACUGGAAUUCCUGGUGUAGCGGUGGAAUGCGCAGAUAUCAGGAGGAACACCGGUGGCGAAGGCGGGUCUCUGGGCAGUAACUGACGCUGAGGAGCGAAGGCGUGGGGAGCGAACA